RNAcentral lists this unclassified non-coding RNA (6765 nucleotides) under Hevea brasiliensis (rubber tree). The record is from RNAcentral. Lineage: Eukaryota; Viridiplantae; Streptophyta; Magnoliopsida; Malpighiales; Euphorbiaceae.
GUUCUGCAGCCGAACCCAAAAUUCUCCGCAGUUUGAAUAAACCUACGUGACUGAUAAAGAUGCUUGCAAAUGGAUACGUGCCAGGGCAGGUCUUUGGCCAGACACCAAGCUAUCCUUUCUCAAAAUUUGUCAAUCAAUCUCAGUUGGGAGCAAAUGCUCUAAAUCAGUACCCAACAAAUGACCUGAAUAGCCUGAGUGACUGGCGCAAAGAUCCCAGAAUCAGUUUCUUUCGUGAUUUAGUUAGAGAGAAAAUUGCUGAAAGUUGUAAAUUGGAAUUGCAAGAGCGAGGAUCUAAUAUUGUAAAUGUCUUAGAAAACAAACUAUUUAUGGAAGCUGUUUCAGAGGAGGAGUAUAUGAAUCUGGAUGUACUGAGAGAGCGGUUGCAAAUUUUUUAUCAAAAGGACAUGGUUGACCUAAACUGUAGUCAACAAGUGUCCAGCUACAGUGGUCCCACCUGUGAAGUGUUGCCAGCCCUGGGUUUGACUCAUAGUUGCAAUUCAGAUGCAGCAUACCCUCCUUUUAAUCACUUCAACAAUGAUAUUACUGACUAUAACCCAAUGAUGGCUGGAAACAAUGAUCAAUUUAGCUUCCUAAAAGGAUUUCUUGAUAGUGGAAACAAGCUAGGACUUGCAAGUUUGUACUGUGAUUCACACAUGAGGAAGAUUUCUAAUGAGUUGCUUCCUUCACAUGAUAGAAGUUCUGUCAUUACAUCAUUUUCGGAUAGGGGUUCCACCAUUACAAGAAAUUCCAACAGUGAUAAAGUUUCAGAAAUUGGAGCUUUUGAAGGUGUUGCAGAUGACCUGAGCCUUCCUGCAAUGGCAUUUUCAUCUACACUCAGAGAAAGCUCAGAGUUCCCCAAUUCAAUUUUGCAGAUGUCAGAACUUGUUCCCCAAUUGAUUUCUGAAGACACUAUUUUUCCUAGCAUGGAUUUUUCCAUAAUGAAUUCAACUCUUGGUGAUGUACUGCAACCUAAAUCACAUAUUCAAGAGCAGAAGCAGCAGAGGCCUUAUUCAUCAUAUGAGCAAUUCAGUAACCCAUUGGAGAUGGCUGGAGAAAUAGUUCCUAUUCAUUCUCAUUUCCCCUCAGAACAGAUACAUGGAGUUCAUAUUGCUUCAGAAAGUUCUUCACUUCUUUCCAGUUCAAACGGAAUUGCUGGACCAGCAAAUCCUAGCAACCAUUUGCAUUUUUCUGUUGAACACAAGAGUUUACAUGCUUAUAGUAGCUGCAAGAGUCCUGCAAUUCCAGCAGAUCAAUUUAAUACCAGUAAACGUCACCAAAGUUUUCAAAAUAUGUACAAUGGCCUUAUGAUGGAUUCAAGCACUACUGGAACCGGUGGGUCUGGCUCUUGUGCUUCAGAAAACAUGCUGCCACCUACAAAACGUUUCAAGCCCAGCUCUGACUGUUCAGAAAACUUGCUGACUCCUUCAAAGGAUCUGAAGAUUGAAAAGUCCAGUUGUCUGUUGUCAUAUGAAAACAGAAUUGCUUCUAUAUUGGCUCCAUUGAUGGUACAACCCCCUUUUCCUAAAGGACUUCCACCCUUGCUGCAAUUGCCAGAAUCUCCUGUAUCUAUUAAUUCUGAGGUUUUGGAUGGAAACAUUGAAUUUUCAAAGCCCAUGCAAAAUCCUUCAAGUGUAGAUCAGGUUAGGAACAGUGCUGGGUAUAAUCUUUUGAGAAUGAAUGCUGAAAACUUGCAUACUCCUUCUGAAGAACAAAUUGUUGAUGGUCCUAGGACACAGGAGAUAGACUGUAGUAGUUUUGGUGAGAUUGCAGAUGCUGUAAAAGAUAAGCCUAAUGAGGUAUAUUUUAAUACAUCACCUGCACUUUCUGAAGAGCUGGGUGCCACUUCUAGAGAGGAGGUGAUACAAGUCAUGUCUAAUUCUGACCAUGCCAAGCCUGAUUUAGAAACAAAAAAGGAAGAAGAAAUGGAGCCAGAGAAUCUAAAAACACGAGGUGUGUCUUUGAUUGAAUUUUUCUCAGCUGAUGAAAUAAAGGACCAUAUUUCAAGUCUUCAGCAGUGGAUUGGUCAGGUAAGUACAUCAUUAUUACUGCUUUGAUUCCUGAAGUCAAAUGUUAUUAAAGCCUUUACUACGAAUGAAGCCUUGCAAUCAUAAUUCUAUAUUUUCGUUUUAUCCAUUUUUGUUGCAACUCAUUUGAUCAUACUUCUGUAUUUUGCAAACAUUGGCUGUAAUAAGUUUUAUAAAUUACAUCAAUCGCACAGGAAACAGACCAUGCAAGUUCUGGUCCAAUGUCUUUAGUUGUUAGAUUGUGAUCGCUUAAGAUGGUGGAUCUGAAGUUUAAGUAGUUGCAUGCAGCCUUAUUAAAGGAAAGAAAAGGCGUCAGGCAAGGCAAGAGGCAACAUUUGCACUGCUACACCAAUUUAAAAUUUUAAUUUCAAGCCUAUAUCCAGUUCAUGAAUUUGUGUUCAUAUUUUCAAUGCUCAGUACAUGUGUAGUUUUCUCAUGAUCUUACUGGAGUUCAUCCUUUCUCUUCAUUCUUUCAUAAUCUUUUGAAUGAACAUUAAUAUCCUUUUACAUCUUUUCUUAGAGAAUGUCAAAGGGAGGAAAGGAAAAGCAAGUAAUGCACUAUGCCAAUGAGAAUACAUGCCAGUUGUGUGCAGCAGAUAAGCUGUUACUAGCCCCAGUUCCAAUAUAUUGCUCUUGUUGUGGUUCUCGAAUCAAGUGCAAUGUGAAUUAUUACAGUACCUCAGAGGAAAAUGGUAUGCGGCAUUGUUUUUGUACCUCAUGUUAUAGGGAUUCUCGAGGUGGGAGUAUCACAUUCUUUGGAAUUAGUAUUCUGAAGGCAAAGCUGGUUAAGAAGAAGAAUGAUGAUGAAAUUGAAGAAUCAUGGGUCCAGUGUGACAAAUGUAAACAUUGGCAACACCAGAUAUGUGCUCUCUUUAAUGACAUAAGAGAUAUGGAAGGGAAAUCUGAGUACGUGUGUCCCAAAUGCUGCUUAGAAGAGAUUGAACAGGGGGAACAUUUGCCUUUACCAAGGGCUGCUGUUUUUAGUGCAAAAGAUUUGCCUACUACAUUGCUUAGUGACUACAUAGAGCAAAGACUCUUUAGGCGUCUUCAGCAGGAGAAAGAAGAGAGCGCAAAGGCUCUUGGAAGGAGCCUUGAUGAGGUUCCUGGAGCAGAUGAUCUUGUUGUAAGAGUGGUGUUGUCUGUUGACAAACAGUUGAAAGUGAAGCAGCAGUUUCUAGAAAUUUUUCAUGAUGGGAAUUACCCUGAUGAAUUUCCAUACAGAUCAAAGGUGAUUCUUUUGUUUCAGAAGAUUGAAGGAGUAGAUGUAUGCCUUUUUGGCAUGUACGUACAAGAGUUUGGUUCAGAGUGCAGUCAGCCAAAUCACCGUUGUGUUUAUAUCUCAUAUCUUGAUUCUGUUAAAUACUUUAGGCCUGAUACAAAGACUGCAGCUGGAGAAGCUCUUCGUACAGUUGUUUACCAUGAAAUAUUGAUAGGAUAUCUUGAAUACUGUAAGAAACGAGGUUUUAUCGCUUGCUAUUUAUGGGCCUGCCCUCCUUUAAAGGAAGAAGAUUAUAUCUUAUAUUGCCAUCCAGAAAUUCAGAAGACUCCAAAGUCUGACAAGUUGCGGCAAUGGUCUGUACCCCUCCCUCUCUGAUAAGCUUUGUGCAUAUUGUGUGUAUGUGUGAGUGUAAACUCUGGUUGAGUUCUGCUCAACAUUCUUAUGGGAGCAUAAUCGUGCCCUCAUCUUGAGCCACUCUUCUGCAUUUCUUUUUGCCCUCAUCAUGGCUAUUACUAUUCCCUCUUUGUUUUGUUUUCUUGCCUUUCUCUGCUAGUAAGCACAUUUAUUGACUAGUAACUGAUAUGCAGGUAUCAUUCAAUGCUAAGAAAAGCAGUCAAAGAAAAUAUUGUGGUUGAUUUCACUAAUUUAUAUGAUCACUUCUUUGUUCCUACUGGGCAUUUUUAUUGCAAAGUAACAGCAUCUCGUUUGCCAUAUUUUGAUGGUGAUUAUUGGUCUGGUGCUGCUGAGAAUGUCAUCAAGAAUAUUGAGCAACAAAAUGGAGAACAUUCAGGGAGGAAGGUGAAGAAAGUAAUGACAAAGAGAACUUUAAAAGCCUUGGGGCAUACAAAUCCUUCUGGUGGUGUUACUAAAGAUAUUAUACUGAUGCAAAAAGUAAUCUCACCUCUCUCUCUCUCUGAGUAAUGUGUAUGUCUCCAUGUAUAUUAGUUUUCUUUUCUAUUUUUUGUGCAAUUUCUUUUUUUGGUUAAAUAUGCAGUUAAUUUUGUUAGAUAUAUGUCUUUGCAUAGUCAAGAUGAGUUUAUUUGCCUCAAAUCAGCUGGAGGUUCCUCUAAGAAGUCAAUUAAGAAUUCCAGCAAGAUCACUAAUUUACACUGUCUGGAGGAGGUAAAGUAGUAAGGUUUUUCAUGGUUGCUAAGCCUUCAUAAUUUUUCAGUAUUUGAGAGGAAAGUAUUUUAAGGUAUUUGAAGGUAAAGAGAAAACUUUCACCAAUUUAAAGCCUCCAAAAACAUUGCUUCAAAAAAUCACAUACCCUCCCAAACACAAGUUGAAGGUUUUUAAACUUUGAAAAACCUCCCAUUACUUCAAAGGGUUAAGAGUAAAAGAAUGACCAGUGCAACUUCCAAAUACAAACCAACUCAUAUUUCUUGCAUCGGACUAAUUUGGUGUUAGAUGCCUUGUAGGCAGCUUAUGUCUGUUUCAAAAUCAUCAAUAGAAACAAUUAGGUGUGGGAACCAUGCUUUCAAGGUAAAUCAUUUGAGAAGAAGCACAAUGAUGUGGAUUCAUAGAGUAUCUUUAAGAUAUAUAAAAGUAAAUUGAUAAGGUCAACAUUGGCUUCUGUUAAUGUUAUAGAAGAUAUAGGGUUGGAAAGGAAUGUACUUAUUAGCAUUUCCUCUAUUUCUUCUACCAGCGUCUUAAGCCAAGCCAUUUCAAAUGCUGGAGAUUUCUCUGUUUGCAUGCAAGUUUCUGAAAUGGAUAAAUAUAAUGAUGAGCAUAGUUGGAUAUAUGCAUUUGUCUCAGCACUAGAUCUUCCAUGAAACUGGAAGAAGUAUAGAUGAAUUCAGUAUAUUGAAUCUAAAGAAAGCCAUUUUUUUCAUUCUGUGUGAUUGGUUAUUCCAUGAGUCUCGGUUAUUCUAAUUUCCAUCUUUUCCUUUAUCAGCUAGGACAAACCAUCUUUCCUUUUAAGGAGGACUUCAUUAUUGUCCAUUUGCGAUUUGUUUGCUCAUACUGCCAUGAAGUGAUAUUUUAUGGAUGGCGUUGGUGUUGCAAUCAGUGCAAAAAUUUUCAGCUAUGUGAAAGAUGCCAUGAUGUGGAGCAAGGCCUUAAUGGUGGGGAAACACACGCUAUAGGUAGCAAAGAAAAGCAUUUACUUUCUAAGGUUAUGGUUGAUGAUAUUCCAUCUGAUACCAAGGAUGAAGAUGCUAUUUUGGAUAAUUGGUUAUUUGAAAAUAGGCAUAACUUCUUGGGUUUCUGUCACAAGAAUCAUUAUCAGUUUGACACACUUCGCCGAGCCAAGCAUUCCUCAAUGAUGAUCCUACAUCAUCUUCAUAAUCCAACAAUUCCCACUACUGGGGAAACCUGCAGCAUUUGCCAGCAGGAUACUGAUACCACAGAUAGGAAUGUUUGUGCCACCUGCUAUAAUGAGAAAUUUGGUUCUUUGCAUAUUCGCAGGUCAACUUAUCACUAUUAUGCAGCUAAUUGUGAAAAUGAGAGUAUAUCUGCACAGCGGAAAAUGCACAAGGUAUGAAGAAUCUACUUUGACGUUCACUUUUGAAGCAUUGUUUGAAUGAUAAAAUUUAGAAUACUCUUUGUUUCUUCUUAUAUGGCUGCAAGGUAAUUAGAUUAUUAUCAUUAAUAUUUAUGAAUUGAUAAUUUAAAAUAAAAUGCUAUCUGUGGCAUUUUACUCGAGGAAGGAUAAAUUAAUGUAGUGAUUGGAGCAUUUACAUUUACUUUUGUAACUUGGUGGCGUAGCUAAAGGAACUGCUAGAUGUUCUACAACAUGCCUCUCAAUGUGAAGCAACCAAUUGUGACCCCUGCUCUUACCCUAACUGCCUUCAAAUCAAAAGGUUAUUCUGUCAUGCAUCUAAGUGCCCCAUUCGGAUCUCCAGAGGUUGUGUGCCUUGUAAGAAGGUGUGGUUCAUACUGAAGCUGCAUGCAGGAAAUUGUGGACAAACAGAUUGCUGCAUACCACGCUGCAGGGAUUUGAAGGCCCGAAGCUAAGUACUUGCACUGCAAUCUGAAACCUCAUGGAAAGCGACAUUUGCAGAAUAUUGGGACAGGAAGCACCUGUGGAUGGGUGAGAAGAAUAGCCAAUAAAACUAACCAAGUGUACAGUUUGUCAAGGAAGAGAACCAGUUGUACAGUUAGCUGAGUUUUGAAGUAACGGAAGGCAAAGCCAAUUUUGAUACCCAACUUCACAAAAGUAAUUAGGCCUUUAUUAUUAUUAUUUUUUUUUUUUGUUGAGCUGAUAAUGAACUUUACUCAAAUCUCCUAAGUGGCCUUAGAGUACAAGGUUAGACAAACGCAGCUUAAAGAGCAGAAAGGUUCGGUGUACGUGAAAAUUCAACAGUUGACUAAAUUAUGAGAAAGUGGAACCUUUAUUUUAUUUGGAAGGUGGUUGGAUAUCUGGCAUUGUAAAACUGAUUUGUAUGAGUUGCCCAUUGAAAGAGCUGCAAGUAAUACAAUUGGUGACGGGUAGUGUGAGAUUAUGGUACUUUUGUUGGUUUAACCUUAUGCUCUUUUGCUUUUAAUAAAUUAUUUGUGUCAACUCUCUCUCUCUCUCUCUCU